UUCCGCCGGUAAAAGGUGGCCGGUACCCUUCCGUGGUCAGGAGGCCCUGAGCCUCGAGUCCCGCUUGGAAGGACGGCUCUUCCGCACUUAAGGAAGCCCAGAAACUUCUGCAGUCUUUCUGCGUUGGCCUUUCCUCCCUGCGCACCAUAGUGGGUAGGAUCGUUCCUCGCCUGUUUUAGACCUAAUCCGCCUCAUCCAUGUUUUGUAAAGUGUGGUGCUGGUGAAUGUUGCUUCACCCAUUUCUUGGUUACCUCUAGAAUGCAGGAAGCUUCUCUCCUCUAAAAUGUAUCUUCGUUGAACUUGGACUUCAAAGACCCAGUCCCUGUUGUGUGUCUACCUGUUCUCUGACCUUAUUAGCUUCGCUGAGUUUUCUUGUCCUCCUACUAGGAGGGGACGCUGUUGAUGCUCUUGGCAAUUCUGAGAGAAGCCACAAGAUGGCAACAUUGCAUGCCUAUGGCUCAGCACAUCUGGUCCUGGAAAAUGGAAAG
Molecule: long non-coding RNA, 488 nt
Organism: Arvicola amphibius (Eurasian water vole)
Lineage: Eukaryota; Metazoa; Chordata; Mammalia; Rodentia; Cricetidae
Exons: 3
Source: RefSeq, a predicted model, not a curated record